RNAcentral lists this long non-coding RNA (257 nucleotides) under Vigna radiata. Its description in RNAcentral is "long non-coding RNA (VRAD_LNC001070)". Lineage: Eukaryota; Viridiplantae; Streptophyta; Magnoliopsida; Fabales; Fabaceae. The record is from RNAcentral.
GAAGAAGUUUUUAAUUAGGGUUUCAUGAUAGUGAAUUAGGGUUUAAUUAAAGUAAAGUAAAUUUAAUUGUAAUAGAGAGGGUUUAAUUAAGGCCAAAGACUUUUAACAUUGCCACAUCAAUUGGGUUGAUCUUGCCACGAAUUUUGUUUUUAGCGUUUUUAACAUCAUCGUAAACAACCAACUUGAACCAUUUUUACAAAAUAUGGGACAAUUAUGAACAUCUCAAAAAAGGUAUGACCACUUUGAACAAACAUAAG